This is a long non-coding RNA of Eubalaena glacialis (North Atlantic right whale), 1318 nucleotides long. RefSeq lists it as uncharacterized. Lineage: Eukaryota; Metazoa; Chordata; Mammalia; Artiodactyla; Balaenidae. The transcript is spliced from 9 exons. The record is from RefSeq and is a predicted model, not a curated record.
ACAAGGAUCCCACAUCGCCUUUGCCUGGGUGAUAGAGUCCAGAGAGCGGAGGGGGAGCGGGGCGGGUAUCUGAGCGCUCCGAUUAAACGUGCAGAUGCACGAGACACAACUUCUGCUCGGUCCUGACAGAUGUCAGGUUGUUGCCAGUAAUUUGUAGACAGCAAUGAUAAGGUAGCUGUCACUGCUGGUCACUGGUACUUGCAGGCACCAUGAGAGGCACUUGGAUUAAGAACUCAUUUAAUCCUCACGCAAUAAGAGGGAUUUACCUACAGGAAUUAAAGCAUUAGCAGGGUCCUGAGUGCAAGGAAAUGAACGCAUUCCAAUGUAUGACGGCAAGCCCAGGAUUGCAAAGAGAGUGAUUCAGAUGCAAGCCCAGGAUCGCAAAGAGAGUGAUUCAGAUGCCAGUACUGAACUAGUAGAACCUGCUUUUAAUGGCCAGAAGAUGUUCAUUUCCUGAGGCUCGGAAUGAAGGGCAUCCACUUGAGUACCUGUUCUCUCAACUCUGUCACAGGGCAUGCACGAGCACAAACAGCCACUUGUCCAGGAUGGGCGGAUGGUCAGGGACACUGGAGGUCACCUGAACCACAUGGGACUCUGAGCCAGAUAAACCCCCAGGGCUGCUGCCAAUGCUAAGAUGCUACGCUUUCCACAGCAUCACCUGAAGUGGACCCGUGCUGUCCCAUGCUGCAGCCACGAGCCACCUGUGACCCCAGGAAUGCGGCUAGUCUGAAUCCCUGUGUCCUGGCUGAGAUACACUCCUGACCUCGAAGACUUAACACCAGAGAAAUCAGUUCCAUGUGGUGGCAAUCAUGCCCAUUUAACGAUGAAGAAGUCCAGGCUCAGAGUGAUAGAGGAACGUGCUCAGCACCCCGUGGGGGCAGGCUCUGAGCCAGAAAGUCGAUCUCUGAACUUCCGUGCUCUUUCGUGUUGGAAGAAGACCACAGAUGGAGCAAGGCUGUAAGCUCCUGGAGUAUGAGAGGUGUGCCCUGGACCAUUCUUGGCCUCCUGGCCCUAGUCUCCAGUGAGGGUCUUGAAGGUGCUGUGAUGAUGACAGCAAGACAGGGAGAUCCAGGGAAGAACAUUAGCAGCAACUCAUACAUCUUGAACACUCAGCCCAGAGACUGCUGUCAGUUCCUCACCUGCGGCACCUGGAUUCAUCCCCACCACCAGCCCAUGAGGGAAGAGCUCUAUUGUCCGCAUCUCACAGAGAAGGGAAGCGAGACCCAGCAAGGGGUGGACAACGGGGGACGGCACGAGAACAGCUGACAGCAGGACUCAGCCCCAAGCAGAAGGCCCAUCCUGCAGGAGGACGGCUCUG